This 242-nucleotide ribosomal RNA is filed under the name uncultured bacterium. RNAcentral's name for it is "partial 16S ribosomal RNA". It matches the Rfam family "Bacterial small subunit ribosomal RNA", at positions 524 to 765 of the family's 1533-position model. The record is from RNAcentral.
UACGUAGGUGGCAAGCGUUGUCCGGAAUUAUUGGGCGUAAAGCGCGCGCAGGCGGCCUCUUAAGUCUGAUGUGAAAGCCCCCGGCUCAACCGGGGAGGGCCAUUGGAAACUGGGAGGCUUGAGUAUAGGAGAGAAGAGUGGAAUUCCACGUGUAGCGGUGAAAUGCGUAGAGAAUGUGGAGGAACACCAGUGGCGAAGGCGACUCUUUGGCCUAUAACUGACGUGAGGCGCGAAAGCGUGGG